GUUUUUAGGAAGUACAUGCUGAAUAGUUACGAGGAAAGGGGCAGCAUGUGUGCAUCUUACUCUUAAGUGGUUCAGAAAAAUUAUGCAUGUGUGUGUGCAUAUAUGUGUGUGUGCAUGUGUGUGUGUAAAAACACGGGUGCAUGAUGAACCACAUGUACUAAAAUGUCUGAAUUCUUUGUACUAUUUCUGCAACUUUCUCAAAGUCUGAAAUUAUGUCAAGAUGUGUUUUUAAAUGAUGAAAACAAAUAACGUAUCCCCCUAAAUGCCCAAGGACUGCUGUUUAAGAAUGUGUUUUGUAGCAUCUGGUGCAUUUUACCAAGAGGGACUGAAAUGAAUUCUGAUACACAUGUAGGAUGGCCUGUUUUGGUAGAUGCAUGGGAAAAAGCAUGAAGAAUUUCCACCAACCUAUGAACUGACAUAUUCAACUCUGAGAGAACUUCCAGGUAAACAUGGUCGGCUACUCAUGUGUUAUCUCCACACCCCCAAGCAACAUGAACUGCGCCAUCACUGACUUCUAAAGAUGAUAAAUCCUCCCACCGAAGGGCACGUAGUUUUGGAAGAUGGACACAGAAGGGCUGACAGCUAACACAGCCUCCAGUGUUCCCUGCUCCACUGAGCAUCCUCAGAGGGAGACAGCACAGGGACACCUGGAGCAGAGCGAGGCCCAGCGGAGCCCAAGAGACAGGGGAGGGGAAGGCAAGGAAGGAGGAACGCAGUGGGAACGGAAGGGGGUCAGCAAGAGAAAAAAGGUGCAUGGGUUGAGUCUUUUAUCACAAACUGUUAGCUACAUUCCCUCUGCCGCACCUCGGAUCCCAGGUCUCUUUUCUCAUCCUCACUGAUAAAGAGACUCCUCCUGAUGCCCCCGUGCAGGACAGCGCAGCUUAACCCGUGGGGACACUAAGCCCAGUGCAGGACAGGGAUGCUCACCUAACAGGCGACAGGGGAUCUGGGGAAAGACACCAGCUUCCACCAAGCUUCCAUGCCAUGGCAAGGAUGUUGGCAGCUGGACCCAGGCUCCCCUGGGCACUGAAGGAGUCUCCUCCUGCAGGUUCCGCAGGGUCCCACUGCCUGGAGACCAGCAGCCAGCACACUGUCCCCACAGAGAGACUUCAAACCACUAUGCAGGGCCCCUUCUUCCAUGGGAAGUGAUGAAGGGGCAACCUAGGUCUGCCCUGUGUCUGGGGAACACCCCAACGUGAAAGCAAGCAAGCUGGCAGGAGGGAGCCUGGAGGAGAAGAACAUUCCCAGAGCUCACAGCACCCACAGAGAGCCAACAGAAGACUAAGUUGAACCUCCCCCCAGAGAGCCAACAGAAGACUAAGCUGAACCUCAGGACACACUCUUUUUUUUUUUUUUGUGUGUGUGUGGCUGAAAACCUGUUAUCAAUUUCACAUGAUUCAGUCUAACAUGAAAUAAAACAGGAUGCACUGAAAGGGCAGAGAAACAUCAGUAAACAUUGAAAAUAUGGCAGGA
This 1473-nucleotide long non-coding RNA is filed under the name Homo sapiens (human). RNAcentral's name for it is "non-protein coding lnc-RSPH1-5:1". The record is from RNAcentral. Lineage: Eukaryota; Metazoa; Chordata; Mammalia; Primates; Hominidae.